CCUACGGGAGGCAGCAGUGGGGAAUUUUGGACAAUGGGCGCAAGCCUGAUCCAGCAAUGCCGCGUGAGUGAAGAAGGCCUUCGGGUUGUAAAGCUCUUUUGUCAGGGAAGAAACGGUGGGGGCUAAUAUCUCCCACUAAUGACGGUACCUGAAGAAUAAGCACCGGCUAACUACGUGCCAGCAGCCGCGGUAAUACGUAGGGUGCAAGCGUUAAUCGGAAUUACUGGGCGUAAAGCGUGCGCAGGCGGUUUUGUAAGUUUGUCGUGAAAUCCCCGGGCUCAACCUGGGAAUGGCGAUGAAGACUGCAAGGCUAGAAUCUGGCAGAGGGGGGUAGAAUUCCACGUGUAGCAGUGAAAUGCGUAGAGAUGUGGAGGAACACCGAUGGCGAAGGCAGCCCCCUGGGUCAAGAUUGACGCUCAUGCACGAAAGCGUGGGGAGCAAACAGGAUUAGAUACCCUGGUAGUCCACGCCCUAAACGAUGUCUACUAGUUGUCGGGUUUUAAUUAACUUGGUAACGCAGCUAACGCGUGAAGUAGACCGCCUGGGGAGUACGGUCGCAAGAUUAAAACUCAAAUGAAUUGACCGGNUGAGACGNGCGACGACGACGACGAGGGAGGAGG
This 620-nucleotide ribosomal RNA is filed under the name uncultured bacterium. RNAcentral's name for it is "bacterial SSU rRNA". It matches the Rfam family "Bacterial small subunit ribosomal RNA", at positions 338 to 951 of the family's 1533-position model. The record is from RNAcentral.